GUGCAGCCAGUUAAGCCGACUGUGCUCUCUGCUCCGUGGGGCGCGGUGUGCAGUGGCUGCCGACGCAGCAGCCUCCUUGGUUGUGUCUGCAGCCUGUGGCCUGUAUGGGCUGUCAUAAGGGACCUUGGAGACAGCG
Sorex fumeus (smoky shrew) is the source of this 136-nucleotide small nucleolar RNA. RefSeq annotates it as small nucleolar RNA SNORA70. The record is from RefSeq and is a predicted model, not a curated record. The transcript has a single exon. NCBI's taxonomy places the organism in Eukaryota, Metazoa, Chordata, Mammalia, Eulipotyphla, Soricidae.